AAUAGCAUAAUUAUUCUUUUAGGAAACAUUGAAAACGGGUCCCACAGACCUGAACACCAUACAAGGGUUAGUCAUGGAAAAAAAGGUUGUUGACGAACAUAUUUAAUCUCGUCUGAUGAAAAUAACACUUAUUUUCUGAGCGAUUUUAACUUCUCUCGUUGCAGCCCCUUUCUGUCAGCCGCAGAGCAGUUUCCAUACCAGGCAGUGAUGGAGGGUGUCAGUUUGCUCUCUACCACCCACCGGUAAAAGGAAGUCAGGAGGACAGCAGGGCUGAGGCCAUGUUGUAAAUUGUCAUCGGCCUGUCUCUACUCCUUGCUAUCAUCGUCGUGGCAGCGUUAAUGUCAUCAGAUGGAUUGAAGAAAUACUGUGUGGAUUCAGGUUCCAACACAAACAAUCUGUAUCAGAAAGUGAGGUUGGACGAGGAGGAAAACAUGCUGAAACAGAUAGCAAAAGAAAAGUUGAAGGCAGAACUGGAACAACGGUGGGAAGAGGAGGCAGCAGCCGGAGAACAGAUCGCUCUGCGUCCAACAGGAAACCAGAUGGUUGACUCUUUCCCGUGAAUCCAGAUUCAUCAGACGAGCUGUAGAGAUGGGUCUACGUCGGUCACCAUGGUGAUGAUGAUGAUGGUCACAUGUUUCAUGCAACUCAACAAAGUGUUGUAUUGAGCUUUAAUCUGAUUAAUUGUAAUGCUUAUCUUUUUUGUUGUUGCUUUUAUUUGUAACUACUGCUCACUGUUGAAA
Molecule: long non-coding RNA, 740 nt
Organism: Perca flavescens (yellow perch)
Lineage: Eukaryota; Metazoa; Chordata; Actinopteri; Perciformes; Percidae
Exons: 3
Source: RefSeq, a predicted model, not a curated record